UUUUUUUUUUUUUCUUUUCGGUUGUUGUUGUUGUUUUGUUUUGUUGCUUUUUAGGGCCAUAACCAUGACAUAUGGAGGUUCCCAGGUGUGGCCAUAAAAAGAAAAAAAGGGGGGAAAAAGGCCUUGGUUUUAAAAAUAUAGAAGAAAGAAUAUAAAUUUGCAAUUUACAGAAGGAAAAAAACUUCCAUGACCAAAGAAGAUGAAAAAACUUUUAGGCUCCUUGGCAAUCAAAGAUGGUACCUUUUUUUCUAUCCAUAGAGACAAUUUUUAAAAACGAUGAUACUGUUCACUGGUAUGAUCUGUUGGCAAGAAAGUAAAGUAACAGAGCACUGUGCACAGUGCAGAUGGGAGCACAACUGAGGCUGGGAGGGAGAAUCUGCAGAAGUACCAAAACCCUCAGAAUUUUGCAUAUCCUUUGACCCAGCAACGCCAUAUGCGAGACUUUGCUUCACACACACACACACACACACACAAAUCACAAAUAAGCACAAGGCCCUGCUCUGAGCACACUCAGUACUACCCUGUUCACACUAAAGAAGAGCUGGAAACAACGGAGCAGGUAGCAAUAUGGGGCACGCACACGGCGGAGGCUGCAGCCAUCGAAACGGUGACACGGGAGGACGCCCCUGAUGAGAACGGUGUUCUAGAACUGGUCACUGAAGCGAAGAGCUGCAAAAACAGCACAUGCAUGUUCUGGAUGGAAUACGUAACCCACAUAACUCACGUACUAUACACGGAACAUCUGGAAGGGGGACCCCGAGAUGUUAUCAGACGUCACCUCUGGAUAAUGGGCUGGUCCGAGGUUUACUCUCCUUUUUCUUUUCCCGGUUUUCCUAUGUGUUCAACAGUGAACAUGAGCACAGGUUAGAGCUGGACAGCUCGAAUUCUGCCACUGCCCCCUUGCAGCUGUGGCCUUUGGAGGCGGCAGGGACAAAAAGGAGCCAGCGCGUGAAAGCAGCAGGGGUAGGCCCCAGUCCCUCCCACCACAUCCCAGACGUGUGACCUUGGGCAAGUGGCGGAACUCAUCUCUAAGGGGCGUCAUGACAGCACCCACAUCUCGGGCUCAGCCUGAGACUUCAGCAAGGCAACGCAUGUGAACGGUUCCAGGCAGAGCUCACAGUUCACAGUUUUCUCCAUCAACAAGCAAAAGUACAAAUUAUUACACUGAAUUUUUGAAAAAAGCAAAGAGGCUACAGGUCAUGAUAGAACAAGUCUCUUGCCUUCAAGCAACUGGACAAUGGGAUCAAAUACAUGGAAGGACAGUGUUCAGGCCUGGACCAGAAGCAGUGCAGGGCUGUGGUCCCCAUGCAGGGAGGGGGGCCCCUGU
This 1327-nucleotide long non-coding RNA is filed under the name Sus scrofa (pig). RNAcentral describes it as "lncRNA (ENSSSCG00015015086.1)". Lineage: Eukaryota; Metazoa; Chordata; Mammalia; Artiodactyla; Suidae. The record is from RNAcentral.